This 492-nucleotide ribosomal RNA is filed under the name uncultured bacterium. Its description in RNAcentral is "partial 16S ribosomal RNA". It matches the Rfam family "Bacterial small subunit ribosomal RNA", at positions 29 to 507 of the family's 1533-position model. The record is from RNAcentral.
AGUGAACGCUGGCGGUAGGCCUAACACAUGCAAGUCGAACGGCAGCACAGUAAGAGCUUGCUCUUACGGGUGGCGAGUGGCGGACGGGUCAGGAAUACAUCGGAAUCUACUUUUUCGUGGGGGAUAACGUAGGGAAACUUACGCUAAUACCGCAUAUGACCUACGGGUGUAAGCAGGGGAUAUUCGGGCCUUGCGGGAUUGGAUGAGCCGAUGUCGGAUUAGCUAGUUGGCGGGGUAAAGGCCAACCAAGGCGACGAUCCGUAGCUGGUCGGAGAGGAUGAUCAGCCACACUGGAACUGAGACACGGUCCAGACUCCUACGGUAGGCAGCAGUGGGGAAUAUUGGACAAUGGGCGCAAGCCUGAUCCAGCCAUACCGCGUGGGUGAAGAAGGCCUUCGGGUUGGAAAGCCCUUUUGUUGGUAAAGAAAAGCAGCAGGUUAAUACCCCGCGGUUCUGACGGUACCGAAAGAAUAAGCACCGGCUAACUUCGUG